This 468-nucleotide ribosomal RNA is filed under the name uncultured bacterium. RNAcentral's name for it is "partial 16S ribosomal RNA". It matches the Rfam family "Bacterial small subunit ribosomal RNA", at positions 28 to 507 of the family's 1533-position model. The record is from RNAcentral.
GACGAACGCUGGCGGCGUGCUUAACACAUGCAAGUCGAACGGAAAGGCCCUGCUUUUGUGGGGUGCUCGAGUGGCGAACGGGUGAGUAACACGUGAGUAACCUGCCCUUGACUUUGGGAUAACUUCAGGAAACUGGGGCUAAUACCGGAUAGGAACUCCUGCUGCAUGGUGGGGGUUGGAAAGUUUCGGCGGUUGGGGAUGGACUCGCGGCUUAUCAGCUUGUUGGUGGGGUAGUGGCUUACCAAGGCUUUGACGGGUAGCCGGCCUGAGAGGGUGACCGGCCACAUUGGGACUGAGAUACGGCCCAGACUCCUACGGGAGGCAGCAGUGGGGAAUAUUGCACAAUGGGCGGAAGCCUGAUGCAGCAACGCCGCGUGCGGGAUGUCGGCCUUCGGGUUGUAAACCGCUUUCGCCUGUGACGAAGCGUGAGUGACGGUAAUGGGUAAAGAAGCACCGGCUAACUACGUG